This is a long non-coding RNA of Mustela putorius furo (domestic ferret), 1963 nucleotides long. Lineage: Eukaryota; Metazoa; Chordata; Mammalia; Carnivora; Mustelidae. The record is from Ensembl.
CUUUUUCCACAGUUUGGGAGAGUAAACUUUGACCAGAUCUUUGUUCCUCAUCUUUAUCAUACAUCCCUUAAGAGUGAGGACAACCUCACACUCAGAUGUUGUCAGCUGAAUCCAAGUCCUGCAGUCACUCUUGGCGGCCUUAGGCAAAUUUCUGAGAAAUCGUGACUGUUUACAUCCAGACACACCCUUUUGGACACCGAAGACUGAUCUCCACUCACCCUCCCUUCUCACACUGCCACCAGAGAUACCUGAGGGGGGACAGCGUGGACCAACCAGGCAGAGACUGUGUUCUGUUCAUGGCCUGGGACCAAUAAUGUCUUCUCAACAACAGAGAGUGACGUGGGCCAGACCAAAACGACGUGGUGCCAUUUCUAACUCCAAAUUCAUUUAUUUACUUCUGUGCUAGGUCACUCCGUCCUCCGUGGACUCCCUCCCAGACUGAGGGAGACCCUGUUGGACAGUGUCUUGCACAUCAGCAUUCUUCAGGGUCCUAGUGCCCUUUACAUUGGAAGAGGGGGCCAGAAUACAGCAUGUCUCCCUAGGGGGGCAUGCUAAACUCUACCCCACCUCUUCUUGGCCAGCUUGGAGAGAAGCCUUUCCAUGCUAAGCUACUGGACAACAAUCUUGAGCUUCCUAGAUUUUCAGGUUGGAUGAAGGGAAAUAGCAACCUGUGAUCAAUUCCACAAACAGAUCAUUAGAAACAUCCUCUUGCUGUGAUUCUGGCCCUCAUGGCUAACUCUCCUGUAGAGCUUAGUUAACUCUAAAAAAAUUUUUUUUGAAGGGUAGAUUAAUAUGAGAGCGCCAGAAUCAAAGAAAUGUCCAAAUUGAAAAGGGUUUUACAAAUAAAGGAAGGGGUCUUGGAGUGGGAGUCUACGGAGAUGAAUUCAGUGACUAUCCAAGACUAGAGAGAGCCCUAGGCCAAAGGCAGUUCUGAGGUGAUGGGAGCAAGGUCAAAGCCAUUCCAACUUGGAAGUGAGUGAUCACAGCAGGAGAGAGCUUUCAACUCCCACACCCUAGUCAUUAUACAGUAUUGGAAGCUGUUGCUUUCCUUGGUUUACAGAGGAGGAAUCUGGGCUUUGAAAUUGGUUUCUGCUUUGCAGUGUGUAAUUUUAAGGUCUUAAUAGGCAUUUACAAAUAGUCUCCUUUUUGAAAGAUACUAAGAAGAGAAGCACUAUACAUUAUAUACUACCAUUUUUAGAAAAAAAAGAUCUAUAUAUAUAUUUUGGAUUUUUUUUUUUUUUUUUAAAGAAGGAGCGGGAGAGAGAGAAUCUUAAGCAGGCUCCAUACCCAGCUUGGAGCCUGAUGCAGAGCCCAGCCUGGAGCUCACUAGAGGCUGACAUGGGGCUGGAUCUCACAACCCUGAGUUCAUGACCUGAGCAGAAAUCAAGAGUCUGACACUUAAUCAACUGAGCCACCCAGGCACCCUUCUUCUUGCUUCUAUUAUGCCUACCUUUUAUUUUUCCUAAGGUUGGUACUUCUAAGGUAGGAGGAAUUCAGUUCUAAAAUACAAGCAAUCAAUGGCACCCAGGUGGCUUAGUCGGUUAAGCAUCUGCCUUUGGCUUAGGUCAUAAUCUCACGGUCCUGGGAUCAAGCCCUAUGUCAGGCACCCUGCUCAGUGAGGAGUCUGCUUCUCCCUCCCCCUUUCCCUUUGACCUCCCUGCCCAUGCUUUCUCUCUUGUUCUCUCUCAAAUGGAUAAGUAAGAUCUUUAAAAAAUAAAAUAAAAUUUUUAAAAAGCCAUCAACAGGGCGCCUGGGUGGCUCAGUGGGUUAAGCCGCUGCCUUCGGCUCAGGUCAUGAUCUCAGGGUCCUGGGAUCGAGUCCCACAUCGGGCUCUCUGCUCAGCAGGGGCCUGCUUCCCUCUCUCUCUCUCUGCCUGCCUCUCCAUCUACUUGUGAUUUCUCUGUCAAAUAAAUAAAUAAAAUCUUUUAAAAAAAAAAAAAGCCAUCAACAACUAAAAAUAUAA